This 475-nucleotide ribosomal RNA is filed under the name uncultured bacterium. RNAcentral's name for it is "SSU rRNA". It matches the Rfam family "Bacterial small subunit ribosomal RNA", at positions 26 to 518 of the family's 1533-position model. The record is from RNAcentral.
AGGACGAACGCUGGCGGCGUGCUUAACACAUGCAAGUCGAGCGGAAAGGCCCUUCGGGGUACUCGAGCGGCGAACGGGUGAGUAACACGUGGGUAACCUGCCCCUUGCUCUGGGAUAACUCCGGGAAACCGGGGCUAAUACCGGAUAUGACACUCGCAGGCAUCUGCUGGGUGUGGAAAGUUUUUCGGCGAGGGAUGGGCCCGCGGCCUAUCAGCUUGUUGGUGGGGUGAUGGCCUACCAAGGCAGUGACGGGUAGCCGGCCUGAGAGGGCGACCGGCCACGACUGGGACUGAGACACGGCCCAGACUCCUACGGGAGGCAGCAGUGGGGAAUAUUGCGCAAUGGGCGGAAGCCUGACGCAGCGACGCCGCGUGAGGGAUGACGGCCUUGGGUUGUAAACCUCUUUCAGCAGGGACGAAGCGCAAGUGACGGUACCUGCAGAAGAAGCACCGGCCAACUACGUGCCAGCAGCCGC